RNAcentral lists this unclassified non-coding RNA (360 nucleotides) under Hevea brasiliensis (rubber tree). Lineage: Eukaryota; Viridiplantae; Streptophyta; Magnoliopsida; Malpighiales; Euphorbiaceae. The record is from RNAcentral.
UAUUUGCGUUCUUUGGAUUCUGAAAUGGUGUCAGAAUUAUCUCGACCAUCAUCUGUAGAGGUGGAGGAUAUCAUUCACCAGCUUGUUCAGAGCAUAGUAAGAAGAUUCUUCAAAGAUGAUCCUACCUCCAAUUUCAUAGGGCAUUCAGCCAUAGGAAGUACAGAAGAUCACAAAGACAGUGCUGAUGAAUUUUGUGACACCAUGGGAACUUCUCGUGAUUACCUAGCAAAGCUGCUUUUCUGGUGUAUGUUACUAGGUCAUCAUUUAAGAGGCUUGGAGAACAGGUUGCACAUAAGUUGUGUUGUGGGAUUGUUGUAAAGAAAAGGAGGCAUGUACAUAAUUAAACAAAAAGAAAAGAAU